This 548-nucleotide ribosomal RNA is filed under the name uncultured Glomeromycotina. RNAcentral's name for it is "SSU rRNA". It matches the Rfam family "Eukaryotic small subunit ribosomal RNA", at positions 548 to 1098 of the family's 1831-position model. Lineage: Eukaryota; Fungi; Glomeromycota. The record is from RNAcentral.
UUGGAGGGCAAGUCUGGUGCCAGCAGCCGCGGUAAUUCCAGCUCCAAUAGCGUAUAUUAAAGUUGUUGCAGUUAAAAAGCUCGUAGUUGAAUUUCGGGGUUAGUAAGUUGGUCAUGCCUUCGGUAUGUACUGGCUUUACUGAUUCCUCCUUCUUGACGAACCGUGAUGUCAUUAAUUUGGUGUUGCGGGAAAUCAGGACUGUUACUUUGAAAAAAUUAGAGUGUUUAAAGCAGGCUAACGCUUGAAUACAUUAGCAUGGAAUAAUGAAAUAGGACGUUAAUCCUAUUUUGUUGGUUUCUAGGAUCGACGUAAUGAUUAAUAGGGAUAGUUGGGGGCAUUAGUAUUCAAUUGUCAGAGGUGAAAUUCUUGGAUUUAUUGAAGACUAACUACUGCGAAAGCAUUCGCCAAGGAUGUUUUCAUUAAUCAAGAACGAAAGUUAGGGGAUCGAAGACGAUCAGAUACCGUCGUAGUCUUAACCAUAAACUAUGCCGACUAGGGAUCGGAUGAUGUUAAUUUUUUAAUGACUCAUUCGGCGCCUUACGGGAAAC